UGUUUUGCUGCUGAACUGAACAGCUAUUUUGAUGUUGCUGUUUUCCCGCUGAGCUGAACCAUGUCAUGCUGCUGUUUGAUCGGAAAAAAUCAUGUAUCCGAUCAUUGCUAUGGAAGCCAUUAUCAAAAUUUAAAUUGUUCUGCUGAACUACGUGCAGUUAACUGAAAUUGGACUGAGGAUCGUUGCAGCGACAAGGUGCUAGGUGGAAGGGCUCCGAGGAGGAAGAGGAGGAGUGGAGGACGUAGGAGGGGUCGUCAAAGGGGUGGAAGGAGCCGGGAUGGGGUCAGAGGGAGUAGCCGAGGGAAGGCGGCGGGGCCGUCGAGGACGUUCAGCUGGAGCUCAGCUUGGCUGCCCUCCCUUUACCAUAGUUGUGGAGGCGACGGGAGAUCUGAGAGCAUCUCCAACGGGGCGACGCAUUUUAGACGUCCAAAAGUGGUCGCGAGCGUUGAUACGUCUCCAACGUAUCCAUAAUUUCUGAUGUUCCAUGCUUGUUUUAUGACAAUACUUAUAUGUUUUUCUCGCACUUUAUGAUGUUUUUAUGCGUUUUCCGGAA
Lolium perenne is the source of this 553-nucleotide non-coding RNA. Lineage: Eukaryota; Viridiplantae; Streptophyta; Magnoliopsida; Poales; Poaceae. The record is from RefSeq and is a predicted model, not a curated record.